Long non-coding RNA from Mus musculus (house mouse), 542 nucleotides. RefSeq annotates it as predicted gene, 46300. The transcript has 3 exons. The record is from RefSeq and is a predicted model, not a curated record. Lineage: Eukaryota; Metazoa; Chordata; Mammalia; Rodentia; Muridae.
AAUAACUAGCUGUGAAGCGAAUCAGCCCAGUUAGGGAUCCUGAAGACAGCAACAAGGCGAGGAUGUGCGUAGGGCUAUAUCUGCGUCAUCCUUAACAGGUGGUCAUGAGCAGAGUCAAGAAGCCAGGGCAGAGAGGAAGGAUCUCAGCAAACAGUUGUCCCAACCAUGAGACAAAUCCGUGAUUCACAGACCAGCGCCCUAGAAAUGCAGGAGUCUUCAUCUGCUGAUUUCCUAUUCUAUAGGAAGCAAAGCCACGGGAGAAAAUGGAUUUAAAAAUCACAUGAAGCACAUCCUUUACGGAUUUUGAUAGUGAAUAUAGUAUAUGAUGUUUUUAUACAAACAGAAGUUAAAUCGUGCUUUUAGCAACAUUCUAAGUUGACCAUGCAACCAUCAGACAGGCAUGGAGCCGUGCAGAAGAGGAGGCAGAAAGAUUGUCAGAGACAGGGGUGAUGGAGGACCAAAAAGAAGCUGUGUCUUCAGGGUACCAACAGAAUUGAUGUUGACGCCGGGCGUGGUGGCACAGGCCUCUAAUCCUAGCACUC